RNAcentral lists this ribosomal RNA (375 nucleotides) under uncultured bacterium. Its description in RNAcentral is "bacterial SSU rRNA". It matches the Rfam family "Bacterial small subunit ribosomal RNA", at positions 521 to 895 of the family's 1533-position model. The record is from RNAcentral.
UAAUACGUAGGGUGCGAGCGCUAAUCGGAAUUACUGGGCGUAAAGCGUGCGCAGGCGGUUUUGUAAGCCAGAUGUGAAAGCCCCGGGCUUAACCUGGGAAUGGCAUUUGGGACUGCAAGGCUGGAGUGUGGCAGAGGAGACUGGAAUUCCUGGUGUAGCAGUGAAAUGCGUAGAUAUCAGGAGGAAUACCGAUGGCGAAGGCAGGUCUCUGGGCUGACACUGACGCUCAUGCACGAAAGCGUGGGGAGCAAACAGGAUUAGAUACCCUGGUAGUCCACGCCCUAAACGAUGUCGACUGGUUGUUGGGGGUUUGACACUCUCAGUAACGAAGCUAACGCGUGAAGUCGACCGCCUGGGGAGUACGGCCGCAAGGUU